UUGGAGAAUUUGAUCCUGGCUCAGGAUGAACGCUGGCGGCGUGCCUAAUACAUGCAAGUCGAACGAGUUCUGAUUAUUGAAAGGUGCUUGCAUCUUGAUUUAAUUUUGAACGAGUGGCGGACGGGUGAGUAACACGUGGGUAACCUGCCCUUAAGUGGGGGAUAACAUUUGGAAACAGAUGCUAAUACCGCAUAAAUCCAAGAACCGCAUGGUUCUUGGCUGAAAGAUGGCGUAAGCUAUCGCUUUUGGAUGGACCCGCGGCGUAUUAGCUAGUUGGUGAGGUAACGGCUCACCAAGGCAAUGAUACGUAGCCGAACUGAGAGGUUGAUCGGCCACAUUGGGACUGAGACACGGCCCAAACUCCUACGGGAGGCAGCAGUAGGGAAUCUUCCACAAUGGACGCAAGUCUGAUGGAGCAACGCCGCGUGAGUGAAGAAGGCUUUCGGGUCGUAAAACUCUGUUGUUGGAGAAGAAUGGUCGGCAGAGUAACUGUUUCGGCGUGACGGUAUCCAACCAGAAAGCCACGGCUAACUACGUGCCAGCAGCCGCGUUAAUAA
Molecule: ribosomal RNA, 557 nt
Filed under: Lacticaseibacillus rhamnosus
Lineage: Bacteria; Bacillati; Bacillota; Bacilli; Lactobacillales; Lactobacillaceae
Description: bacterial SSU rRNA
Rfam family: Bacterial small subunit ribosomal RNA
Source: RNAcentral